This 278-nucleotide long non-coding RNA is filed under the name Mytilus galloprovincialis (Mediterranean mussel). Lineage: Eukaryota; Metazoa; Mollusca; Bivalvia; Mytilida; Mytilidae. The record is from RNAcentral.
UUCGCGGAGGGUUGAGCGCUCACAAACAUGCUGUUGUGCUGUUAAACCACUGUACUAGGUUAGGGGAUGGUUGGGAUCCGCGGCUUACAUGCUUAUCCCCGCCAAAUUAUGUAUGUAAAAAACUAUAUGCUUGUCCCAAGUCAGGAGCCUGUAAGUCAGUGGUUAUUGUUUGUUGCUGUGUUACUUACUUGUUUUUCGUUCAUUAUUUUGUACAUUAAUUAGGCUGUUAGUUUUCUUCUAGUGAUUUCGGGGCCUUUUAUAGCUGAGUAUGUGAAAUG